Molecule: ribosomal RNA, 253 nt
Filed under: uncultured bacterium
Lineage: Bacteria
Description: partial 16S ribosomal RNA
Rfam family: Bacterial small subunit ribosomal RNA
Source: RNAcentral
UACGUAGGGUGCAAGCGUUGUCCGGAAUUAUUGGGCGUAAAGAGCUCGUAGGCGGUUUGUCGCGUCUGCUGUGAAAACCCGAGGCUCAACCUCGGGCCUGCAGUGGGUACGGGCAGACUAGAGUGCGGUAGGGGAGAUUGGAAUUCCUGGUGUAGCGGUGGAAUGCGCAGAUAUCGGGAGGAACACCAGUGGCGAAGGCGGCUACCUGGCCCAUUCUUGACGCUGAGGCGCGAAAGCUAGGGGAGCAAACGGG